Gallus gallus (chicken) is the source of this 1384-nucleotide long non-coding RNA. The record is from Ensembl. Lineage: Eukaryota; Metazoa; Chordata; Aves; Galliformes; Phasianidae.
GUUUGUUUGAAAAGGCAAUCUUUAUAAUUUCUUGAACAAAUGUCUUGCUUCUAUUCCAGCCUAGCUCUUGCAGACAUUCUUCAUAAACAACCUUUCACAAGAAACUUUAUCCCAGCUGUACGUCUUCCUGUCCCCGCAGUACUACCUUUAGUGUUGUUCGAUUGGUUUUGCAUUAACAGCUGCACUAUAAAAGGGCUUUGCAUUAAAACAAAUUAAUUUUUUGUUUGUUUGUUUAUUUUACUAGGACAUCCAAAUUCUUCUAGACUCAGCUGUUUUUCUCCAGACCCCUACUCCAAGGGAAAUGAAAGGCUAUACUUUCCAAGUGCCGUGAAAGUCACUCACUACUGCUUGCUUUGCUAGACACUUAAUUGAGAACAGAUAAUUCAGUCAAUAAUUAACAUUGCCCAGCAUCUACUUCAGGAUCAAAUCUGUUUUCGUGUAUGACAGCCCUCUAAAAAUACACUAUACUGCCUUGGCUGUAGCGAUAAAGCAGUGAAGCAGGGUUGUUUGGAUUUUAAGUCAGAACAUCUGUCAGGCUAGAGUGAUUUCUUUCUGGUUAGAUGUGGAAAGAAUUUUUGGCUGUUCACGACAUGAAUUCCCUUACUUUUCACCCCUCCACAUAAAACACUUUACAGAUUAUUGCUUUUGCUUUGACCUCUUGCUGCUUAAAACGUACAGGAUGAAACUUUCUUUUUUUUUCUGUUUCAGGUUUGAUGUUUGCAGAAGAAAAUGUCUCCGUUGGUACUGACUGGACAGUAUCCUUAACUUUCAAAAUCUCUCCUAAACUGUUAUCCUAAAAGCAGUUUAAAUGUCUACCAAAAACAGGUCUGACUGAGGCAUAGACAGAUGUUCACCUGUGAAGCAGCAGCAGUGUUGACAGACCUUCCAUGUCUACCUUUGUUUUAUUGAUUCCAUUACUAAGACAUAACUGCUCAAGCAGUUGUCUCAUCGCUGGAUUUUUCAAGUUUUGAUGUGUUUGUUUUUCCUUUACUUUCAGUUAUCUUAAAGCAGUACUGGAGGUGAUUUAUAUUAAGCAAAAGUUCAGAAAACUGUCAUAUUUGGAAAUUAUCUGUUUACUCAGCCUAAGCUGAAUCCAGUGACUUUAUAAACAAUUACAGAUGUUUUACAGAUGAAUAUCUCAUUAGGUUAUGAGUUAAUCUCUCAAAUAUAAACUUGUGUGCUUUUUCCAGGGCUCCUUGGGAGCCUCUUUCAAACUGUCUCCCUGGAUGAAUCCUGACAUUCAGGAAGUAUGAGCUACAAGUCCUAGCAGUACUCCUGUUUUGCUGUUGCCCAAGUCUGACAACAGAAUGGCUACGGCACUUAGCCAAGAAGCCCGAACUAUCAAAACUCUGCCUCCUCGACUCUGAAACAGUCAGAAUUCUCU